UACGUAGGUGGCAAGCGUUAUCCGGAUUUAUUGGGUUUAAAGGGUGCGUAGGCGGGUUAUCAAGUCAGCGGUAAAAUCGUGGAGCUCAACUCCAUCCAGCCGUUGAAACUGAUGAUCUUGAGUGGGCGAGAAGUAUGCGGAAUGCGUGGUGUAGCGGUGAAAUGCAUAGAUAUCACGCAGAACUCCGAUUGCAAAGGCAGCAUACCGGCGCCCGACUGACGCUGAAGCACGAAAGCGUGGGUAUCGAACAGG
Molecule: ribosomal RNA, 252 nt
Filed under: uncultured bacterium
Lineage: Bacteria
Description: partial 16S ribosomal RNA
Rfam family: Bacterial small subunit ribosomal RNA
Source: RNAcentral